This 620-nucleotide ribosomal RNA is filed under the name uncultured Pseudonocardia sp. RNAcentral describes it as "bacterial SSU rRNA". It matches the Rfam family "Bacterial small subunit ribosomal RNA", at positions 434 to 1067 of the family's 1533-position model. The record is from RNAcentral. Lineage: Bacteria; Bacillati; Actinomycetota; Actinomycetes; Pseudonocardiales; Pseudonocardiaceae.
UCGACCGGGACGAAGGGUGACUGACGGUACCGGUAGAAGAAGCACCGGCCAACUACGUGCCAGCAGCCGCGGUAAUACGUAGGGUGCGAGCGUUGUCCGGAAUUAUUGGGCGUAAAGAGCUCGUAGGCGGUGUGUCGCGUCGGUCGUGAAAACUUGGGGCUUAACCCUGAGCGUGCGGUCGAUACGGGCAUCACUUGAGUUCGGCAGGGGAGACUGGAAUUCCUGGUGUAGCGGUGAAAUGCGCAGAUAUCAGGAGGAACACCGGUGGCGAAGGCGGGUCUCUGGGCCGAUACUGACGCUGAGGAGCGAAAGCGUGGGGAGCGAACAGGAUUAGAUACCCUGGUAGUCCACGCCGUAAACGGUGGGCGCUAGGUGUGGGGGCCAUUCCACGGUCUCUGUGCCGCAGCUAACGCAUUAAGCGCCCCGCCUGGGGAGUACGGCCGCAAGGCUAAAACUCAAAGGAAUUGACGGGGGCCCGCACAAGCGGCGGAGCAUGUGGAUUAAUUCGAUGCAACGCGAAGAACCUUACCUGGGUUUGACAUGCACUAGACGCGUCUAGAGAUAGGCGUUCCCUUGUGGCUGGUGUGCAGGUGGUGCAUGGCUGUCGUCAGCUCGUGUCG